RNAcentral lists this ribosomal RNA (447 nucleotides) under uncultured bacterium. RNAcentral describes it as "bacterial SSU rRNA". It matches the Rfam family "Bacterial small subunit ribosomal RNA", at positions 329 to 793 of the family's 1533-position model. The record is from RNAcentral.
CUCCAGACUCCUACGGGAGGCAGCAGUGGGGAAUAUUGCACAAUGGGGGAAACCCUGAUGCAGCGACGCCGCGUGAGCGAUGAAGUAUUUCGGUAUGUAAAGCUCUAUCAGCAGGGAAGAAGAUGACGGUACCUGACUAAGAAGCCCCGGCUAACUACGUGCCAGCAGCCGCGGUAAUACGUAGGGGGCAAGCGUUAUCCGGAUUUACUGGGUGUAAAGGGAGCGUAGACGGCGGCGCAAGCCAGAUGUGAAAGCCCGGGGCUCAACUCCGGGACUGCAUUUGGAACUGUGUGGCUGGAGUGUCGGAGAGGCAGGCGGAAUUCCUAGUGUAGCGGUGAAAUGCGUAGAUAUUAGGAGGAACACCAGUGGCGAAGGCGGCCUGCUGGACGAUGACUGACGUUGAGGCUCGAAAGCGUGGGGAGCAAACAGGAUUAGAUACCCCGGUAC